Molecule: small nuclear RNA, 20 nt
Filed under: Arabidopsis thaliana (thale cress)
Lineage: Eukaryota; Viridiplantae; Streptophyta; Magnoliopsida; Brassicales; Brassicaceae
Description: snRNA_05549
Source: RNAcentral
CGUUUUGCAGAUUACCUAAA